AGUUUGUAUUUGAAGCCAGGCUAUAGAUAAACCAGGCAAGAUGGCGGAUUACGACCUGACUACCAAGAUAGCUCAUUUUCUAGACCGGCAUUUGGUGUUUCCUCUUUUGGAAUUCCUGUCUGUGAAAGAGAUAUACAAUGAAAAGGAACUGCUUCAAGGAAAGCUGGACCUCCUCAGCGAGACAAACAUGGUGGAUUUCGCCAUGGAUGUGUACAAAAACUUGUACCCGGACAAGGAAAUUCCACACUGUAAGAAACCCAGCAGAUUAAUAGUUUGUUUUGAUUCCAUACGCAAGGCAACUUUAUUUAUAUUAUAUAGCAUAUUUUAGCAACAAGGCAAUUCAUUUACUUUACACAACACAUUAAAGAGCAAUAAAAACAAAAUCCAAAUAAAUAUAAUGGCUUAAAUCGAAUAAGACAGGUAUUAAAUGGAAGAAUAAAAGUUACAGUGCAGUGUAAGAAAUUAACAAUUGAUUUAUUUAAAAAUUAUACAUUGAUUUAACUGAAAAGUUUUCAGCCUUUAUUUAAAGGGAGUUUUGUUCCAGAUAUGUGGUCCAUAAUAACUGAAUAGCUUUCUUUUCAUAGCAUUUUUUUCUGCCAUAACAUCUAGCUUUCAAACAGAUAACAUAUACAUCUUGAGCACUGAGUGUGUACAAAAAGCUUUUAGGUGGUAAUUAUUAUUCAUGGUUUAUUUAAUACAUUUAAGCAAAUGGAGGCAGACUAUCAGUCAUGUAUUGAACCACUUAGUCAAAGGAAAGAAUACAGUUGACGUCUUGUCAUGUAGCCUCUGUGGCUGUGGUGUCCCAACAUUGACCAGCCACCUGAGCAGAACAUAAUAGUACCAUAAUCUGGGAAGUACUUUGUUACCGGUCAGAAAAUAUGUUCUUGCCUAUAUCUUACUGUUUUGUGCUGUUGAUUUUCCAACCAGAUGAAUAAAUAUUAUUGGGGUUAA
Perca fluviatilis (European perch) is the source of this 951-nucleotide long non-coding RNA. RefSeq lists it as uncharacterized. NCBI's taxonomy places the organism in Eukaryota, Metazoa, Chordata, Actinopteri, Perciformes, Percidae. The record is from RefSeq and is a predicted model, not a curated record. The transcript is spliced from 2 exons.